AUUGAACGCUGGCGGCAGGCCUAACACAUGCAAGUCGAGCGGAUGAAGGGAGCUUGCUCCUGGAUUCAGCGGCGGACGGGUGAGUAAUGCCUAGGAAUCUGCCUGGUAGUGGGGGAUAACGUCCGGAAACGGGCGCUAAUACCGCAUACGUCCUGAGGGAGAAAGUGGGGGAUCUUCGGACCUCACGCUAUCAGAUGAGCCUAGGUCGGAUUAGCUAGUUGGUGGGGUAAAGGCCUACCAAGGCGACGAUCCGUAACUGGUCUGAGAGGAUGAUCAGUCACACUGGAACUGAGACACGGUCCAGACUCCUACGGGAGGCAGCAGUGGGGAAUAUUGGACGAUGGGCGAAAGCCUGAUCCAGCCAAGCCGCGUGUGUGAAGAAGGUCUUCGGAUUGUAAAGCACUUAAAGUUGGGAGGAAGGGCAGUAAGUUAAUACCUUGCUGUUUUGACGUUACCAACAGAGUAAGCACCGGCUAACUUCGUG
This 484-nucleotide ribosomal RNA is filed under the name uncultured bacterium. RNAcentral's name for it is "partial 16S ribosomal RNA". It matches the Rfam family "Bacterial small subunit ribosomal RNA", at positions 30 to 507 of the family's 1533-position model. The record is from RNAcentral.